Molecule: non-coding RNA, 8939 nt
Organism: Monodelphis domestica (gray short-tailed opossum)
Lineage: Eukaryota; Metazoa; Chordata; Mammalia; Didelphimorphia; Didelphidae
Source: RefSeq, a predicted model, not a curated record
GCAAGAACCAUGCGAGACUAGAGAAAAAUGUCUCGCGAGACUUCGCUUAGUUCUUUUUCUUCUUCCUUGGGAUUUGUGGGUUGUCUUUGCCCUUUAGCUUUCGUGCUUGUGCCUGUGUUCGAGGGUUGACAGUACUAUGAGUUUGGAGAAGUCAGCGCUUGCAGAAAUGGUGUUUCCGAUUUGGGCCGACAUAAAGUUUGCCAACAUAGUCCUUCUGUUCCUAGCCAAGGAAGGGUCAGGGAAAGCCUCACUCCCCUCUCAUCACUAUCAUUCUAGGUCCUAGUUCUAUAGGGCUUGGAAGUUGCAAAGAAUUCUUCGUACUUUAAGAGAUGUACUGCAACCUUGUGAGGAAAGCAAUCGUUUGACAGUGAAGGUUCAUGAUUUUCCAUAGGAAAAGAAAUUUAGCAAUCUGGAGAUAAUUUUCCGUGGUAGGAAAAAAAAGAAGCAAAACAAGAGUUGACUAAUAUUUAUGAAAGCCAUUAUCAUCAAAGUUGGAAAUAUUAAGCAAUGGCAGUUGAAAUGAAGCAAAUCUCAAGUGAGAAGAUCCAAAAAAUGCCAUAGAUAUAGCACAUACGGAUUUCAUCAAGACAUUUGACAAGAGUCUUUUAUGAUAACCUUGUGGACAAGAUGGAGAAACAUGAGCUAAUGAAAGUACAAUUAGGACAGCUUCAGAAACUGGUUAAACACCUUCAAAUAGUAAUUAAUAGAAUGCUGUCAGCCUGAAGGGAUUCUAGUUACAGCCACUAGGCUUUCUCCCUGGAGCUUUUACUACUCAACAUUUUUAUCAACUUACAUAAUAGAUAAAUGCAUACAGUAGGGGCCCAUAUCCUCAUGGGGAUAUGUUCCAAGAUCUACUGCAAAUGGCUGAAACACAGGAUAUAAAUUAACACCUGCUGGCCUCAAAUAUUUUCCCUAUAAUUGUCUCCCUCUCUCUCACUCAUCUUGCUCCUCAGCAAUCUCCUACAGACCUCCCAUCCUACCCCCAGUCCUCCCCAAAAAGGAAAGAAAGAAAAUGAAAACAGAAGAGACAGCUGCAAGGAACAGACUUCUGCUGCUGGACCUCCUGAGCUCUAUGGAUGACCUUCAGGGGUUCACAGUUGUCACUGGAUAACUGAAACCACAGAAAACAAAACCACAAAUGAUGGGGCCCUACUGUACUUGUAAAUUUGAAAAUACCAUAAAACUGGAAAAGAAGGCUAAUAUGCUAAGUGACAGAAUUGAGAUCCCAGAAGAUUUUGACAGGGCAGAGCAAUAGACAGACUCUAGGAAGAGAAAAACAGUCUUUCUGACAUAGGAUAACAACUGGAUAUGCCAUUUUAUUGGUAUAGGGAGCCCUGAUGAGAAACCUCCUCUGCUGGUAUGUCUGGGCUCUUUUGUAGAAAGUUUAAAAAAAUAGUGAGAGGUUAGGUGACUUGCCCUGAGUCAAGAUUAAAUUUAAUGUGAAAAAGUCCUUUACUCAGAUCCAAAAAAAUCGACUCUUCCAUUACAAUUUGGGAAAAGCAUGACUAAACCUAGUACUUUUAGUCUCAAGACAAGUCCAAUUUUGACAUGGCUAAAAAAACAAACAUGGUAUAUUACAUAAAAGAAGUAUAAUGUCCAAAUUCAGCUAGACUAUGCCAAUCAGGCCACAUCUGUAAUGUUGCAACUGGUUCUGUGCAACACGUUUUUGAAGGACACAGAUAAGGAAUACAUACAUAUAUGGUGCUGAGGAUACUAAGAAAAUAGGAUGCAAUGUCAUCUGGAAAUGUUUAGCCUAGAAAAGAGAAGACUUUGUAGGAGGUAGGAAGGACAAAAUAAAUAAUUUGAAAGGUUCUCACUUGGAAGGAGGAUUAUGCUUGUUUUGUUUGGCCUCUGAACAAAGAAAUAAGAGACUUGUAUUUGUUAUUGCAACUUCUACCCAUUGUUCAUGCUGUGGGGAGAGGAGAGUGAGGCAGAAGAUAGUAGAAUAGAAUAAGCAAUCUUUUUACAUGACAACCCUUCAUAUUAGUUAAGAUAGCUAUUCAAUCCUCACAUAUCUCCUCCACCUCAUUCUCCUUUAUUUUAUGCUAACCAUUCCCAUUUCCUUUAACCCAUCUUCAUUUGUAAUAGAAUCAAGACCCUUCCCAUUUUUGUUAUUAUCCUCUGGGAGCUUUUCAGUUUAUCAAUAUCUUUUUAAAAUCAUGGUACCCAGAACUGAGCACAGUGCUUAAGAUGAGGUCUGAUAAAGGCAGGAUAUUUGUGAUAUCCCCUCCCUAUUCCAGCAAGCUAUAAAUCAAUGGCUGAAUACAUAGUAAAACUAUCGAUAAAUGUUUUAUAUAUUUCUGCUCCUCUUAAUGCAGCCUUUAAAAAAAAUUUCCCAAUUAUAUGUAAAAACAAUUUUUAACAUUUGUUUUUCAAAAUCUUGAGUUCCAAACUCUCCCUCAGUUCCUCCCCUUUCCCUUCUCCAAGAAGGCAAGCAACCUUACACAGGUCAUAUGUGUGUAAGCCAUGUAAAAUAUUUCCACAUCAGUCCUGUUAUGAAGGAAAAACACAAAAAUCAAGAAAAAAAAUUUUUUAAGACUUCAUUCAGACUCCGUCAGUUCCCUUUCAUAGGAUCUAGAAAAUGGCUUAGAACAUUGUGUUAAGAAUAUCUAACUCAUUCACACUGAUCAUCAUACAAUAAAUAGUGUUCUUAUUGUAUAUAAUGUUCUCCUAGUUCUGCUCAUUUCACUGCAUCAUUUUUUGUCUUUCCAGGUUUUUUUUUGCCAUCAUUUCUCAGAGUAGUAUUCCAUUGUAAUCAUAUACUACAACUUAUUCAGCCAUUCUCCAAAUGAUGAACAUCCCCUCCUCCAUUUCCAACUCUCUACCACCACAAAAAGAACUGCUAUAAAUAUUUUUAUACUUACAGGUCCCUUUCCUUUUUGUUUGGUUUUUUGUCUCUUUGGGCCACAGACUUAGUGGAGAUAUUCCUGGGUCAAAGGGUAUACACAGUUUUAAAGCCCUUUGGCCAUAAUUCAAAAUUGCUCUCCAAAAUGUUUGAAAGAGUUCACAACUUCACCAGCAGUGCAUCCCCUCCAACAUUUGUCAUUUUCCUUUUUGGUCACAUUAACCAAUCCAAGAGGUUGGGGGUAUAGUUGUUUUAAUGUAUAUUUCUCUAAUCAGUAGUUAUUUAGAGCAUUUUUUUCUUGACUAUAGAUAGCUGUCAUUUCUUCUGAAAACUGCCCGUUCAUAUCCUUUGACCAUUUAUCAGUCAGGGAAUAUCUUGUAUACUUGUAAAUUUGACACAGUUCAGGGGCAGCUAGGUGGUAGUGGAUAGAGAGGUAGGCCUGAAGAUGGAAGGUCUUGGGUUCAAAAGUGACCCAAGAUACUUCCUAGCUAUGUGACCCCAGGAAAGUCAUAACCUCAGUUCCCUAGCUCUUACUUCUCUUCUGCCUCAGAAUCCAUAAUUGGCAUUGACUCUAAAACAGAAAGUAAGGGUUUUGUUUUGUUUUUUUUUUAAGUUGAUUCAAUUCUCUAUAUUUGAGAAAUGAAGACUUUUCCAGAAAAACCUGCUGUUAAAAAAAAUUUUUUUUUAGAAUCGGGAUUACUAUUUCUCUUCAUCCUAUUUCCCCCAUUUAUUUUACUCUUUUUCUCCUUUCCAUCCUGUCCAUCCUCAAAAGUGUUUUGUUUCUGAUUUCCACCUCCCCUAAUCCUUCCUCCCUUUUAUCAAUUUCUUCCACCCUUUCUUGUGUCACCUUCCCUUCCUGUAGGGUAAGAAAGGUUUCUAAACCCAACUGUGUAUGCAUGUUAUUCCCUCUUUGAGCCAAUUCCAAUGAGUAAGGUUCAAGUGCUACUUCCUACUUCAGUCUUCCCUUCCAUUAUAAAAUUCCUUUGAAUCUCUUUUAUGUGAGAUAAUUUACCUUUGUUCUACCUCUUCCUCCUCCCAAUGUAUUCCUCUUUCUCCUUAAUUUUUUUCUACAUAUUAUUCCAGAUAGAAAUAUAAACAGUCUAAUCUUAUUGAGUCCCCUUUGAUUUCUCUUUCCUUGUUAUCUUUUUAUGCUUCUUUUGAAUCUUGUAUUUGAAAGUCAGAUUUUCUAUUUAGUUCUUUUCAUCUUGAAUUCCUGGAAGUCCUCUGUUUCACUGGAUGUCUGUUUUCUUCUAGAAGGAUUCUACUCAGUUUUGCUGGCCUACCCAGCCAAAGAGAUUAUUGGUUAUAAUCCUAGCUCCUUUGCCCUCUGAAUUCUAAACCCUACACUCCUUUAAUAUAAAAGAAGCUGCUAAAUCUUGUGUUAUCCUGGCUAUGGCUGCAUAAUAUUUGAAUUGUUUCUUUCUGACUUCUUGAAAUAUUUUUUCCUUGACUUGGGAGCUCUAGAAUUAUUUUGGCUAUAACAUCCUUGAAUGUUGUAGCCAAAUGUCAACCUUGAAAAACAUAGAACCAUUAAAGUAGUUAGAAAGAACAAGUCUUUAUUCAGGCAAGAGAGACAAAGCUCAAGAAGAUUUGGCUUCCACAUAGAGUCAAGCGCUAAAUACCACACAGAGCCAAAGCUCUGGGACUCUGGGAACAAUGUCUCUGGGAAAACACACUGCCAAAGGUGAUUUACCAAAGAGCUGAAGAACUUAGGGUCCUCUAUCCUUUUUGGAGAAUAUAGGACAGGAAGGAUCAAUUGAUUGGCUUUACAAUGGACACAAGUGAAGGAAGAGUCCAGGGCUAGACUACCUGGGAGAGGUUUCUGAUAUGGUGGGAGAAACAUCUACUAAUUCUACCUAAGCUGAGGUCAUUAGGUUCUUUUAGGUUUAUUGUUCAGUCUGAGACAAGAUCAGUCUGAGACUUCCCUCAAAGCAAGUUCCCAAGGGAUGGGCAAAUUUGGGGGUUCCAUAAACACAGUUGAUAAUCCCUAGGAGUUUUCUUAUUGGGAUCUCUCUAAAGAAACUUCAGUAAGUUCUUUCUGUUUUAACCUCUGGUUCCAGAAUUCCUUGAUAAUUUCUCAAAGGAUAAUGUCUAGGCUCUUUCUAUUUUCCAGGUCAAUUAUUUUUCCAAUGAGAUAUAUCACAUUUCUUCUGAUUUUUAUUUAUUGUUUCUCAGUGUUUCAUGGAGUAUUAACCUCCACUUGCCCAAUUCUAAUUUUUAAGGAAUUUUCUUCAGUGAGAUUUUGUACCUCUUUUUUCAUUUGACCAAUUCUAUUUUUUAUUAUUUUUUUAAGCCCUUACCUUCUAUCUUGAAAUUGAUACUGAGUAUUCCAAGGCAAAAGAGCAGUAAGGUCUAGGCAUUUGGGUUAAGUGAUUUGUCCAGGAUCACACAACUAGUCCAAAUUUGAACCCAGAACCUCCCAUCACCAGGCCUGACUUUCUUUUUCCUGAGCCACCUACCAGUCCCCAAUUCUUUUUUUUUUUUAAUCCUUACCUUCCAUCUUGGAGUGUAUUGGCUCCAAGGCAGAAGAGUGGUAAGGGCUAGGCAAUGGAGGUCAACUGACUUGCCCAGGGUCACACAGCUGGGAAGUGUCUGAGGCUAGAUUUGAACCUAGGACCUCCCAUUUCUAGGCUUGGCUCUCAUUCCACUGAGCUACCCAACUCCCCCCCCCCCCCAUUCUACUUUUUAAGGAAUACUUUUUUUAAACUUCUUUUAAUAUUUUAUUUCCCCAAUUACACGUAAUAACAAUUUUUAACAUGUAUUUUCCAAAAUUGUAAGAUCCAAAUUGUUUCCCUCCCAGUCCUGGAAAUGGUUAGCAGCUUUGUCUGGGUUAUACAUGUAUUAUCAUGCAAAACUUCCAUAUUGUUCAUUGUUGUAAGAGAAUACACAUAAAAACUAAAACACAAAAUAACAACAAAAAGUGAAAAAUAAUGUGCUUUGAUCUGCAAAGGAAUUCUUUUCGGUUAUUUUUUUGUAGAUCUUUUUUCCAUGUGGCAAAUUCUGCUUUUUAAGGAGUUUUCUUCAGUGAAUUUUUGCAUAAGUUUUGUAUAUAUUUAAAGUAAUGUGUAAAUUGUUUGGGACAAGCAAUUUGAUAUGGUUUCAUUUUGUGAAAACCUUGGUUAUGCAUAUAUUCUACUGACACUGGUGUUACAAUAUCUGAUCUAAACCAGAUGAAAGUGGUGUCUUCAUCUUUAGUAAGUUUUCUAUCAGGGGAAUAUUGAGUUUUAAUUCUGUGAUUUUAAAGAGUGCAUAUUGCUCCAAGAAAACAUCCCAAUCUCUAAAGUGCCCACAUCAGUGACUCUUAGAGAUAAUGCAGGAUCUAUUAGUUUGGAGAAAUUAAUUAAGCAUUUCAAGAAUCAUUCAAGUCAGUGGUGGAAAAGGAUCUGUCUCACUGAAACCUCUGGAAAGGUUUUUUUUUUUAAAUGCCAACAACUAUGAUACAAUCCUCAGAAAACAAGCAGAACUUAAGAGGAACCUUUGGAAGCUUCUUAAAUUUAGAAGAACAUUGAGAUGACCAGUAAAAGAAUAGCUUCUAACCAUUGCUUAGAAGAAAAAAAUUCUUGUUAUGGUCUGAAUAGUACAAAAACUGGAGAACUGACAAUUAGGAAAAGGUAUUUUUUUAAGAUAGCUAAAACGUUUAUUAAACCCUAGGUGCAUUCUAAGUAUUGUGUUAAAUGUUGGUGCUAAUUAAAAGAAAGACUAUCACCCUGCCCUUAUAGAACUUACAUACUAAUAAAGGAAGACUAUCCAUAAAAUGCAUCUGAAAAGGAGAGAGAGAAAAGGAAGUUACUGGCCUGGGGACAAAGUAGAAAAGUAAUCCAGAGAGUUAGGGACUAAUCCUUACCUGCAGAUAAUAAAUACAUCCUCAAGUGGAAAUUCCUAGGAGGAAUUUACCAAUGAGGCAGGGAGACCCUGGAGAUGGAGGUUUCGGGGCUUGAAAAGUUGGGAAGUAGUCCAGAUUCCUGAGCUGAAGAAGGUGUAAAGGGAGGAAAAUCAGUUUUUAAAGUUCAGUGCUAUACCAAAACCAUUGUCAGAAGAAACCCAGAUGAGCCUGUAAAAUCUGAAUAUUGUCAUCCAAAGGUAAAAUAUACACCCUCCCCUAAAAAAUAUAUUUAGGGUUGUUUGUCUUUCCUGGAAUUACUAGGGCUAGAUGGGCUGGAGGCCUUGUACCAUUGAGGAAAUGAUGACCUUGAUGAGAAGCAGAAUUAUUUCCAAAUUAUAGAAAUUCCCAAAAAGAGAUAGAAUGAAUACUGUAGUCCAGACCUUGCACUAUGCCAUAAAUCCCAGAAAGCUAAAAAAAUGUGUCCAAGAAGUGGAGAGAAACAUGAUUCAUUGGAAACAAAGCCAUUAGUUUGUGAGAUCCUUGAAGACAGAGACUGACUUUUUUGCCUUUUAGUGUCUCCAACAAUUUAGUACCUCCAUGGCACAUAAUAGAUGCUUAAUAAGUGUUUACUGAUUGGUUCAUUGAUUUAAACUCCAUUGAAAAUCUAUGGGCUAGACUUGGAAAAAAUAGACUAUUACAUUUCCUACCCAAGGUAAUAAAAAUGUGAUUGCACAAAUCACUCAGCAAAAAUUUAUUAAAUGCUUUCUAUGUACUAAGUUCAGAGCAGAAUAAAAAUGCAAAAGUGUCUUCUCAGGAACUUAUUUUAGUGGGAAGAUGACUUCUAACAUGUGUAUUAAAUGGUUUUUAAAGAUGUCAAAUGUUACAAGGUUUAUUAUAUAUAUAUAUAUAUAUAUAUAUUUAUAAAUAUAUAUAUAUAAUUUAGUCAUUUUAUUCUGUCCAAGUUUGCUCAUUACUGUAUAGAUUUACAUUUUUGUUUUUCCCUCUUAGAAUGUAAUUUCCUUGAGAGCCAAGGCUUUCAUGUUUUCCAUAGUUCCCUAGGACUUAGCACAGUGCUUGACACUUCGUAUAGGACUUUGAUUGGUUGAAAUCAUGUUAGCCUCAUGACCACACCUCAUAUAGGUAACUUGUAAAACUGUUAAAAAUGAGUUAUCAGAUGGUCCUGGGUACCAAAGAGUUCCCUAUCCUGAUGAAGUUAUACAUCUGGAUCAAUAAUAAAAAUAAAUAAAUACUAAACGAAGGGGAAUAAUCAACCCAAUGUAUUUUAGACUGGAAGUACAAUUUUUAAUCUGGAAAAAACUUCCCAGAAUGGGUAAAACUACAACCAAACUUUGAGAUGGGAUCCUGAGGGAUCUCUUCACUUUGAAACCUUUAUUAAACUUUUGUUAAAUAUUUGAGUGCUGCCCAAAAAAAAAAGUAGCUCAGAAACACCAGAUUUGUGGUGAAAGCAUUGACUUAUCUGACUCAUCUCCUUGGAGUACAAAAAAUAAAGGCCACACAAAUAAAGCAAAUUAUUCAGUCCUCGAAUUUCUGUGUUCAAAAUAUUUUUCUAGAGUAAGGCUUCCUAAAAAGGAGCUACCCAGAGCAGUAAAAAUAUCAACACUCCCUUCUCCAGGACUCCAGAGAUUGGUAAUAUUAAUAUUUUCUACAGUAGAUAUUUAUUUUCCACAGAGCAAGUUAUUCUUUAAUCUUGGUACCCUUGCUUUUAUGUCCAAAUCUGCCCAACCAUUCUUUCUUCAGUCAUAGAAAAAGAAUUGAAAUCAUGGUUUCCUACUUUUUUCACUAUAUGACUCUAAGCAAGCCACCUCUUAAGUAACAAGAACAUGUGAUAUGAUAGAAAGGUGCAUGUACAUGUAAAUUUGGGGGAGGUGGACUGUGAAUAAAGAUACUCUCACUAAUCAUCUUAUCUCAGGCAAGUAAUGCAAACUUAAAAAAUUUUUUUUGAACUUCAUAAAAUAACAACAUAAGCAUUCACUUAUAUACCAAGUAGAAAAACAAGACUAUAUGAAAUCAAGACUAUUCUGUACAUUUCUUUUUAAGUACACCUUAAAUUUAAUCUCAGUAUCAACAUGGCCCUGCUUGCCACUUUCUAAACUUUAUAUUUCCUUCUUUGGAUUUUGAUUGAUUGAUGAUUUUUCUCUUUUUCAUCCCUAUUACUACUAUCCUCACCUCCCUGUAAAAAUCUCCCUGCCAAAAAAUAAAAUGUAAACCCUUUUGUAAUAAAUAUAGACAGUAAAGAAAACUGUAAUUUGA